This 491-nucleotide long non-coding RNA is filed under the name Nicotiana benthamiana. RNAcentral's name for it is "long non-coding RNA (NBEN_LNC004463)". Lineage: Eukaryota; Viridiplantae; Streptophyta; Magnoliopsida; Solanales; Solanaceae. The record is from RNAcentral.
UUGGUUAAAAUCCAAACACAUAUAAGUCCUCUUUCUAUAAUGACCACUAGAAAUCAGUCUCAUUCUUUUGGUGGUAAUGUGUUAGGUGUCAAACCAGUUGAAUUUCUUGAGUCAUUUUAUAGUUUUAUUUGCUCUGUCCAUCCUUUGACUAAUCAUUUCCUCUAAAUUAUGGGCUCUUAGCCAAUGGCCUCAUUAAUUUGCUACAUUUUUCCUGGGAUUCUCGAGCUGUGAAGGGUAAGAAGUUGCUGAUGGUUGUUGCCCCUCCUUGUUGUGGCUUUGGAUUUUUAUUUGCAUUUUAGCUCCAUAUUAGACCGUUUCAAGCUUUUUAUGUGGCUCUUCAUGUUGAUCUCUUGCUUUAAAUAGGUAUGUGAAGACUUUCAUGUAAUUCCUUUUAAUUAGGCAAAUGAGACUUGAUUCAAUAUUGCCAUCCAUGUUUAGUUUCAUGUGUUCAUUAUUUGACUUGCUAUAUUUGGCCAUUUAUCUUUUGAAAA